RNAcentral lists this unclassified non-coding RNA (253 nucleotides) under uncultured Pirellulaceae bacterium. RNAcentral describes it as "contains 16S-23S intergenic spacer region". It matches the Rfam family "Bacterial small subunit ribosomal RNA", at positions 524 to 776 of the family's 1533-position model. The record is from RNAcentral. Lineage: Bacteria; Pseudomonadati; Planctomycetota; Planctomycetia; Pirellulales; Pirellulaceae.
GACGAACCGUCCAAACGUUAUUCGGAUUUACUGGGCUUAAAGGGUGCGUAGGCGGUGUAGUAAGUCAGGUGUGAAAUCCCACGGCUCAACCGUGGAACUGCGCUUGAUACUGCAGUGCUUGAGGGAGACAGAGGUAAGCGGAACUGAUGGUGGAGCGGUGAAAUGCGUUGAUAUCAUCAGGAACACCAGUGGCGAAAGCGGCUUACUGGGUCUCUUCUGACGCUGAGGCACGAAAGUUAGGGUAGCGAACGGG